AACAGUUCUCAAACGAUCACCGAAGUUAAGGAACGUCGAGCCUGAGUAAUAACGAGAUGGGUGACCGCUUGGGAAUACCAGGUGCUGUAA
Acanthosepion pharaonis is the source of this 90-nucleotide non-coding RNA. Lineage: Eukaryota; Metazoa; Mollusca; Cephalopoda; Sepiida; Sepiidae. The record is from the annotation of a GenBank genome assembly.